Long non-coding RNA from Hirundo rustica (Barn swallow), 1058 nucleotides. RefSeq lists it as uncharacterized. The transcript has 3 exons. The record is from RefSeq and is a predicted model, not a curated record. NCBI's taxonomy places the organism in Eukaryota, Metazoa, Chordata, Aves, Passeriformes, Hirundinidae.
AGCAUGGAGUGUCUCAUCCAUGUAACUCUGAUACAUGUAAGAAUACUCCUCCAAGCUCCUCAGAUUCAAUGGUGAAUAUACAGUUCAAGUGGAUUUCCUCUGAUUUUACCACAAGAGUAGUGAAAGUCUGCAGAAACCUGUUAGAGGCUGCUACACAGAUUGUUAAUCUAGAACAAGUGAUUGACAGAAGAGUAAAAAUCUUCGAUGCUUUGCUGUAUGCACAAGUGAAAAUUCCACUGAGUGAUCAGAUUCUUGAUGACUUAUGUGGAUUGCUGUCUCUGCCCUGGAUUUACAGCCAUCCUGAUGAUUCUUCUUUUAAGCCAUCUAUCUGGGGGUUGGUCCUCUAGUUUUGAAUCAAAAAACUGCACAGAGUUUCUCACCCCAAACUCAGUCACACUGUGUGUUCCUUCUGUCUCUCUUCCCAAGAAACAUUCAUCUGGAUUGGAGAAAAUCAGUUUGUCACUGGGCAUUACAAAGUCACCAUGAAGUAAUUCGGGCUACUUGUGUUAAAGGAUUCUCUCUGCUGCUUCAUCCUGUGCAGUCCUGCAGCAUGAUUCCCAGAGCUCUGUUGUAUGUACUAAUGCAGCUUUUCUGUCUCUGUGCAAGAAGAAUAAUGGGCAAAUAAUAAAUGGAGUAUAAGCACAAAAAUGAAUGUUCAUUUCAUAUGAAAUUUGCUGGAUCUUAAUUUCAGAAAUCAUCAGAUAGCAACAGGAUAGGUGCACAUGAUGAUGUCUGUGUGCCAGACUAGUGUUCACUUACUGUGUCAGUGUACAAGUUCCUUUGGUAGCUGAAGACCCCAGUUUAAUACAGGGCAGGGAGGGGAGAUACCUUGGUCAGUGGAAUCCAUGUUGUAUUUUUCCAUGUCUCUUAAAAUCUUUGCAGCUUCUCUGCCAGAGACAUGAUGUAGCCUUAGUGGUACUGGCCCAGCUGUAAGAUUAUGAGUUUAUUUUUUUAUUAUUAUUAUUGUUUUGUUCAGUUUUAUUGACUUUCGGGGGGUCUUUUGGAAUACUGAAGUUCUGUUCAGCAAAAACACCAGAAUGGUGUGUGCAGUCAUGAUU